This 377-nucleotide ribosomal RNA is filed under the name uncultured eukaryote. RNAcentral describes it as "partial 18S ribosomal RNA". It matches the Rfam family "Eukaryotic small subunit ribosomal RNA", at positions 592 to 976 of the family's 1831-position model. The record is from RNAcentral.
CAAUAGCGUAUAUUAAAGUUGUUGCAGUUAAAAAGCUCGUAGUUGGAUUUCGGGGCAGCCUGGCUGGUCCGCCGCAAGGCGAGUACUGGUCAGCCGCCCUUCCUCUCGAAAGCCCCGACUGCUCUUUACUGUAGUGGUCGGGUAGUUCGGGACGUUUACUUUGAAAAAAUUAGAGUGUUCAAGGCAGGCCUACGCCUGAAUACAUUAGCAUGGAAUAAUGGAAGAGGACCUCGGUCCUAUUUUGUUGGUUUCCAGGGCCGAAGUAAUGAUUAAGAGGGACAGUUGGGGGCAUUCGUAUUUAAUUGUCAGAGGUGAAAUUCUCGGAUUUAUGAAAGACGAACAACUGCGAAAGCAUUUGCCAAGGAUGUUUUCAUUAA